RNAcentral lists this ribosomal RNA (253 nucleotides) under uncultured bacterium. RNAcentral describes it as "partial 16S ribosomal RNA". It matches the Rfam family "Bacterial small subunit ribosomal RNA", at positions 524 to 776 of the family's 1533-position model. The record is from RNAcentral.
UACAGAGGGUGCGAGCGUUAAUCGGAAUUACUGGGCGUAAAGCGUGCGUAGACGGUUAUUUAAGUCGGAUGUGAAAGCCCCGGGCUCAACCUGGGAAUUGCAUUUGUGACUGCAUGGCUGGAGUGCGGCAGAGGGGGAUGGAAUUCCGCGUGUAGCAGUGAAAUGCGUAGAUAUGCGGAGGAACACCGAUGGCGAAGGCAAUCCCCUGGGCCUGCACUGACGCUCAUGCACGAAAGCGUGGGGAGCAAACAGG